AAGCUCCUCUCCGCCGCCAGGCCGCCAUGCCUCCUACACCCACGCGGCAAACCCUAGUCGUGGGAUCUGGCGGCGGUGCUGGCGGUGCUGCUGCGAACACCAGCACAUCCCGCUGCAUCCUCAACGCCCGUGGCCUCAACCUCGACUUCCCGACCCUCCUCCUCGACGGUCUCGACUUCCAACUUGAGCCCCUGCUCGACCUAGCUGUCCCGGCCUCCCCACGGUGUUGUGGUGGUGCAUUGCUGCUGCUGCUGAUGAUCCAGUACUACCUCGGCUACCUCCACGACGACUACUACGUCUUCCUCGCCUACGACCUCAGUUUCCGCUGCUGCUGGACGGGGGUGGUUUCACCGAACCAUAACCAUGGUGGUGGUCGCCAUCCGUCAGGUAAUUUUGUACAAAGCAUCGAAAGUAGUACUCUCUACACAAAAUAGAGUCGCUGAAGAGAUUUCCUUCUCAGAGUAUGAUGUUUACUGCUGACUCGUCCAGUCGAUACUAUGACAACAAAAAUUAAGAGGUAUCUCCAAGGAUGACCAGACUCAGAUCCAAUGGCUACGAGACAGCCGAAGAAAAAAGUUGACCCAUCCAGCAUGCUCUCCUUGCUUCCACUCUUGGUACAUGGCCAGUCUCCUGCACGUUUCCACAACAAUUUACCUGAAAAGGUUUUGAGCCUGCAAUCCAAUGCUAUUAUGUUCAUGUGCUCUCCUUAACUUGCAGUGAAGUUCCCAGUUUCUAGUAGAGGUGGUUGAGCCUUGCAAGGAUGUCACAGAUGAAGGCAUCUGUAUGGGUAUACAAAAUGCAACUGGUCCUAGUACUCUUUAUCCCAUUCUGAAUGUUCUUAUUUAUGACAGCUUGUCAUAUACACUGAAAAUGUUGUCAUUGUUACUGAUUUUACAUAGUUACUGAACAUGCUGUGCUGUAAUUGAAGUUGUAUGAAUGUGCUGCUACAUUUAUGGUCACAUGAUAUUGUGUGCAUGCAUACCUUUUUACUUAGAUAGGCUAAGGCAUGGAAGUUAGUUUGUAUUGUCAGUAAGCUAUUAUUAAUAAGCUCUUUAAUUACAUGAUGCCCCUGUCUAAGUCACUCCUUUUUGGCAGAUCAGAUAGAACAAAAAACCGAUGAAUUUUGUCAUUGCAAGUAACCAUUUUGGCCACUGCCAUUUGAGGUAUUUGUUUUGGCUGAUCAGAUAGAACAAAAAAUCGAUGAAUUUUGUCUAUAGAAGUAACCAUUUUGGCCACUGCCAUUUGAGGUAUUUGUUUGAGAAUAAGCUCUGCACGCACAUGUUGAUCACCCAUGUUACAUGGUACGUGGAUACAUAUAAGCUCUGCACGAACAUGUUGAGCACAUAUAUUACAUGGUACAACCACUCUUAAUUAUCAUGAUCUGAACUUGCAGUGAUCUUAUCUAUGUUUUCUAUUUCUAGAGGGUUAAUAGACAGAAUGGAAGCUGCUAAAUAAAACGCGUGACUGGUACCUCGUGUCAACACUCUUGACAUCAGUUCUCAUACUUACAACUAACUGGUACCUCGUGUCAAUUUCUAGGGAAUUAUCAGUGAAUAUGAAUGCUAGCUGAGGAACAGAAGCUGCAUUUCUACGGAAAUUAAGCUACUAUUGGAGAAUCCAUGGUUCCAAGGGGUUCUUGACUUCCUAAUAGUGGACUUGACCCUGUUCCUGUUCACCUUUGCUAUUCUCCUCUAUCAAGCAAUUCUAGUUGUCUUGUAGUGAUUUCUAUUAAAGAAUAUAGAGUUGAUAUCAUUGUUACUGGAGUUGUAUACUGAUGUUUACGAAGUGAAAUAUCGCUGUCAGGAUAUGUAUAAUGUGGUGAUGCCUUAAUGUUGUGAUAUGUGGAAUGGUAAUUUCAGAUUUUGUGCA
Molecule: RNA transcript, 1869 nt
Organism: Lolium rigidum
Lineage: Eukaryota; Viridiplantae; Streptophyta; Magnoliopsida; Poales; Poaceae
Exons: 5
Source: RefSeq, a predicted model, not a curated record